Molecule: long non-coding RNA, 438 nt
Filed under: Brassica napus (rape)
Lineage: Eukaryota; Viridiplantae; Streptophyta; Magnoliopsida; Brassicales; Brassicaceae
Description: long non-coding RNA (BNAP_LNC007972)
Source: RNAcentral
UAAAUUGAAUUUGUAUGUUAAAUAUCUAAAAUUAACAUGAAAAUAUAGUUCGGUUUAGAUAUUUGGAUGGAGACUCCGUAGGUAUUUAGAGUAUUUCCGGUGUUUGAAUAUUUGUGGAUAUUUAUUUUUAGCUAUUUUCAGGUAUUUUAGGCAAUUUUGAGUACUUUAGAUAUUUUUAGGAUAUUUAGUGUGAUUUGGGUAUAUUGGGAUUCGCAAAAUAUAUUGUUUCGAGUCAGAUUUAGAUGUAGUUCUUCAUAUACCAAAAUUUGGGACUCAUUUGGAUAUCUUACAAGUUUUGGCUCGAGUUCAAUACAACUUCUUAAAACGGAUUUGGUUCGGUUCUCUGAACUCUAAUAUUUUUCCCAUAAUUGAAAGUUACAGUCUCAAAAAAUAUUAUAAAGGAAAUCAAGUAAAGUAAUGAUCUGGAAUUUAUCAUGC